CGGAGGGUGCGAGCGUUGUCCGGAAUCACUGGGCGUAAAGGGCGCGUAGGUGGCCUGUGGAAGUCUGCGGUGAAAGCCCGGCGCUCAACGCCGGGUCGGCCGUGGAUACUCUCGGGCUUGAGCUUACUAGAGGCAGAUGGAAUUCCGGGUGUAGCGGUGGAAUGCGUAGAGAUCCGGAAGAACACCGGUGGCGAAGGCGGUCUGCUGGGGUAAUGCUGACACUGAUGCGCGACAGCGUGGGGAGCAAACAGGAUUAGAUACCCUGGUAGUCCACGCCGUAAACGAUGGGCACUAGAUGCUUGGGGGAGCGACCCCCUGAGUAUCGUCGCUAACGCAUUAAGUGCCCCGCCUGGGGAGUACGGCCGCAAGGCUG
This 373-nucleotide ribosomal RNA is filed under the name uncultured organism. RNAcentral's name for it is "bacterial SSU rRNA". It matches the Rfam family "Bacterial small subunit ribosomal RNA", at positions 526 to 896 of the family's 1533-position model. The record is from RNAcentral.